GAGUUUGAUCNGGCUCAGAACGAACGCUGGCGGCAGGCCUAACACAUGCAAGUCGAGCGCACCUUCGGGUGAGCGGCGGACGGGUUAGUAACGCGUGGGAACGUGCCCUUCUCUACGGAAUAGCCUCGGGAAACUGAGAGUAAUACCGUAUACGCCCUUCGGGGGAAAGAUUUAUCGGAGAAGGAUCGGCCCGCGUUAGAUUAGAUAGUUGGUGGGGUAACGGCCUACCAAGUCUACGAUCUAUAGCUGGUUUUAGAGGAUGAUCAGCAACACUGGGACUGAGACACGGCCCAGACUCCUACGGGAGGCAGCAGUGGGGAAUCUUGGACAAUGGGCGAAAGCCUGAUCCAGCCAUGCCGCGUGAGUGAUGAAGGCCUUAGGGUCGUAAAGCUCUUUCGCCAGGGAUGAUAAUGACAGUACCUGGUAAAGAAACCCCGGCUAACUCCGUGCCAGCAGCCGCGGUAAUACGGAGGGGGUUAGCGUUGUUCGGAAUUACUGGGCGUAAAGCGCACGUAGGCGGAUCAGAAAGUUGGGGGUGAAAUCCCCGGGGCUCAACCCCGGAACUGCCUUCAAAACUCCUGGUCUAGAGUUCGAGAGAGGUGAGUGGAAUUCCGAGUGUAGAGGUGAAAUUCGUAGAUAUUCGGAGGAACACCAGUGGCGAAGGCGGCUCACUGGCUCGAUACUGACGCUGAGGUGCGAAAGUGUGGGGAGCAAACAGGAUUAGAUACCCUGGUAGUC
Molecule: ribosomal RNA, 738 nt
Filed under: uncultured marine bacterium
Lineage: Bacteria
Description: bacterial SSU rRNA
Rfam family: Bacterial small subunit ribosomal RNA
Source: RNAcentral